GUUGUAUAGUCAAGUAAUUAAGUGCAUGUGGUGGAUGCCUUGGCAGUCAGAGGCGAUGAAAGACGUGAUAGCCUGCGAAAAGCUCCGGGGAGGCGGCAAAUAUCCUUUGAUCCGGAGAUGUCUGAAUGGGGGAACCCACCUACUUUAAGGUAGGUAUUGCAACAUGAAUACAUAGUGUUGCAAGGCGAACGAGGGGAAGUGAAACAUCUCAGUACCCUUAGGAAAAGAAAUCAAUUGAGAUUCCCUCAGUAGCGGCGAGCGAACGGGGAUCAGCCCAUUAAGUUAUGUGUGUUUUAGUGGAACGCUCUGGGAAGUGCGAACGUAGAGGGUGAUAUUCCCGUACACGAAAGGGCACACAUAAUGAUGACGAGUAGGGCGAGGCACGUGAAACCUUGUCUGAAUAUGGGGGGACCAUCCUCCAAGGCUAAAUACUCCUGACUGACCGAUAGUGAACCAGUACCGUGAGGGAAAGGCGAAAAGAACCCCUGUGAGGGGAGUGAAAUAGAUCCUGAAACCGCAUGCAUACAAGCAGUGGGAGCACCUUCGUGGUGUGACUGCGUACCUUUUGUAUAAUGGGUCAGCGACUUAUAUUCAGUAGCGAGGUUAACCGUAUAGGGGAGCCGUAGAGAAAUCGAGUCUUAAUAGGGCGUUUAGUUGCUGGGUAUAGACCCGAAACCAGGCGAUCUAUCCAUGAGCAGGUUGAAGGUUGGGUAACACUAACUGGAGGACCGAACCCACUGUCGUUGAAAAGCCAGGGGAUGACUUGUGGAUAGGGGUGAAAGGCUAAUCAAGCCUGGUGAUAGCUGGUUCUCCCCGAAAGCUAUUUAGGUAGCGCCUCGGACGAAUACCAUAGGGGGUAGAGCACUGUUUCGGCUAGGGGGUCAUCCCGACUUACCAAACCGAUGCAAACUCCGAAUACCUAUGAGUACUAUCCGGGAGACAGACUGCGGGUGCUAACGUCCGUAGUCAAGAGGAAAACAAUCCAGACCGCCAGCUAAGGCCCCAAAAUCAUAGUUAAGUGGGAAACGAUGUGGGAAGGCAUAGACAGCUAGGAGGUUGGCUUAGAAGCAGCCACCCUUUAAAGAAAGCGUAAUAGCUCACUAGUCGAGUCGGCCUGCGCGGAAGAUGUAACGGGGCUAAAACUAUGUGCCGAAGCUGCGGAUNNNNNNNNNNNNNNNNNNNNAUGCUGGAGGUAUCAGAAGUGCGAAUGCUGACGUGAGUAACGACAAAACGGGUGAAAAACCCGUUCGCCGAAAGACCAAGGGUUCCAGUCCAACGUUAAUCGGGGCUGGGUGAGUCGACCCCUAAGGCGAGGCCGAAAGGCGUAGUCGAUGGGAAAAUGGUUAAUAUUCCAUUACUUCUGUGUAAUGCGAUGAGAGGACGGAGAAGGCUAAAUCAGCCUGGCGUUGGUUGUCCAGGUGAAAGGAUGUAGGCAUGUAUCUUAGGCAAAUCCGGGGUACUCUAUGCUGAGAUCUGAUAGCAAGCUGUACUUGUACAGCGAAGUGGUUGAUGCCAUGCUUCCAGGAAAAGUCUCUAAGCUUCAGUUACACAGGAAUCGUACCCGAAACCGACACAGGUGGUCAGGUCGAGUAGACCAAGGCGCUUGAGAGAACUCUGCUGAAGGAACUAGGCAAAAUGGUACCGUAACUUCGGGAGAAGGUACGCUGUUGUUGGUGAUGGAACUCGCUUCCUGAGCUGACGACAGCCGCAGAAACCAGGCCGCUGCAACUGUUUAUUAAAAACAUAGCACUCUGCAAACACGAAAGUGGACGUAUAGGGUGUGAUGCCUGCCCGGUGCUGGAAGGUUAAUUGAUGGGGUUAGCGUAAGCGAAGCUCUUGAUCGAAGCCCCAGUAAACGGCGGCCGUAACUAUAACGGUCCUAAGGUAGCGAAAUUCCUUGUCGGGUAAGUUCCGACCUGCACGAAUGGCAUAAUGAUGGCGGCGCUGUCUCCAGCAGAGGCUCAGUGAAAUCGAAAUCGCUGUGAAGAUGCAGUGUACCCGCGGCUAGACGGAAAGACCCCGUGAACCUUUACUGCAGCUUGACACUGAACUUUGACCUUACUUGUGUAGGAUAGGUGGGAGGCUUUGAAGCUGGAACGCUAGUUCCAGUGGAGCCGUCCUUGAAAUACCACCCUGGUAAUGUUGAGGUUCUAACUCUGUCCCGUGAUCCGGGACGAGGACCGUGUCUGGUGGGUAGUUUGACUGGGGCGGUCUCCUCCUAAAGAGUAACGGAGGAGUACGAAGGUGCGCUCAGCGUGGUCGGAAAUCACGCGUAGAGUAUAAAGGCAAAAGCGCGCUUAACUGCGAGACCCACAAGUCGAGCAGGUACGAAAGUAGGUCUUAGUGAUCCGGUGGUUCUGUAUGGAAGGGCCAUCGCUCAACGGAUAAAAGGUACUCUGGGGAUAACAGGCUGAUACCGCCCAAGAGUUCAUAUCGACGGCGGUGUUUGGCACCUCGAUGUCGGCUCAUCUCAUCCUGGGGCUGAAGCAGGUCCCAAGGGUAUGGCUGUUCGCCAUUUAAAGAGGUACGCGAGCUGGGUUUAGAACGUCGUGAGACAGUUCGGUCCCUAUCUACCGUGGGCGCUGGAAAUUUGAGAGGAUCUGCUCCUAGUACGAGAGGACCAGAGUGGACGAACCUCUGGUGUACCGGUUGUGACGCCAGUCGCAUCGCCGGGUAGCUAUGUUCGGAAGGGAUAACCGCUGAAAGCAUCUAAGCGGGAAGCCUACCUCAAGAUAAGAUUUCCCUAGGACUUUAUGUCCUCUAAAGAGCCGUUCGAGACUAGGACGUUGAUAGGUUGGAUGUGGAAGCAUAGUGAUAUGUGAAGCUGACCAAUACUAAUUGCUCGUGAGGCUUGACUAUACAACACCCAAGCAGUUG
Molecule: ribosomal RNA, 2877 nt
Filed under: Acinetobacter baumannii
Lineage: Bacteria; Pseudomonadati; Pseudomonadota; Gammaproteobacteria; Moraxellales; Moraxellaceae
Description: bacterial LSU rRNA
Rfam family: Bacterial large subunit ribosomal RNA
Source: RNAcentral